This 253-nucleotide ribosomal RNA is filed under the name uncultured bacterium. RNAcentral's name for it is "partial 16S ribosomal RNA". It matches the Rfam family "Bacterial small subunit ribosomal RNA", at positions 524 to 776 of the family's 1533-position model. The record is from RNAcentral.
UACAGAGGUCUCAAGCGUUGUUCGGAUUCAUUGGGCGUAAAGGGUGCGUAGGCGGCGCGGUAAGUCGGGUGUGAAAUCUCGGAGCUUAACUCCGAAACUGCAUUCGAUACUGCCGUGCUUGAGGACUGGAGAGGAGACUGGAAUUUACGGUGUAGCAGUGAAAUGCGUAGAGAUCGUAAGGAAGACCGGUGGCGAAGGCGAGUUUCUGGACAGUUACUGACGCUGAGGCACGAAAGCCAGGGGAGCAAACGGG